This 146-nucleotide unclassified non-coding RNA is filed under the name uncultured Leotiomycetes. Its description in RNAcentral is "sequence contains ITS2". The record is from RNAcentral. Lineage: Eukaryota; Fungi; Ascomycota; Leotiomycetes.
CAACACUCAAGCCUAGCUUGGUCUUGGGCCUCGCCGGAAACGGCGGGUCUUAAAAUCAGUGGCGGCGCCUGUUGGGCCCUAAGCGUAGUAAUACUCCUCGCUACAGGGUCCCAGCGGACGCUGGCCAGCAACCCCCAACUUUCUAA